RNAcentral lists this ribosomal RNA (1424 nucleotides) under Limosilactobacillus fermentum. RNAcentral's name for it is "bacterial SSU rRNA". It matches the Rfam family "Bacterial small subunit ribosomal RNA". Lineage: Bacteria; Bacillati; Bacillota; Bacilli; Lactobacillales; Lactobacillaceae. The record is from RNAcentral.
GUGCCUAAUACAUGCAAGUCGAACGCGUUGGCCCAAUUGAUUGAUGGUGCUUGCACCUGAUUGAUUUUGGUCGCCAACGAGUGGCGGACGGGUGAGUAACACGUAGGUAACCUGCCCAGAAGCGGGGGACAACAUUUGGAAACAGAUGCUAAUACCGCAUAACAGCGUUGUUCGCAUGAACAACGCUUAAAAGAUGGCUUCUCGCUAUCACUUCUGGAUGGACCUGCGGUGCAUUAGCUUGUUGGUGGGGUAACGGCCUACCAAGGCGAUGAUGCAUAGCCGAGUUGAGAGACUGAUCGGCCACAAUGGGACUGAGACACGGCCCAUACUCCUACGGGAGGCAGCAGUAGGGAAUCUUCCACAAUGGGCGCAAGCCUGAUGGAGCAACACCGCGUGAGUGAAGAAGGGUUUCGGCUCGUAAAGCUCUGUUGUUAAAGAAGAACACGUAUGAGAGUAACUGUUCAUACGUUGACGGUAUUUAACCAGAAAGUCACGGCUAACUACGUGCCAGCAGCCGCGGUAAUACGUAGGUGGCAAGCGUUAUCCGGAUUUAUUGGGCGUAAAGAGAGUGCAGGCGGUUUUCUAAGUCUGAUGUGAAAGCCUUCGGCUUAACCGGAGAAGUGCAUCGGAAACUGGAUAACUUGAGUGCAGAAGAGGGUAGUGGAACUCCAUGUGUAGCGGUGGAAUGCGUAGAUAUAUGGAAGAACACCAGUGGCGAAGGCGGCUACCUGGUCUGCAACUGACGCUGAGACUCGAAAGCAUGGGUAGCGAACAGGAUUAGAUACCCUGGUAGUCCAUGCCGUAAACGAUGAGUGCUAGGUGUUGGAGGGUUUCCGCCCUUCAGUGCCGGAGCUAACGCAUUAAGCACUCCGCCUGGGGAGUACGACCGCAAGGUUGAAACUCAAAGGAAUUGACGGGGGCCCGCACAAGCGGUGGAGCAUGUGGUUUAAUUCGAAGCUACGCGAAGAACCUUACCAGGUCUUGACAUCUUGCGCCAACCCUAGAGAUAGGGCGUUUCCUUCGGGAACGCAAUGACAGGUGGUGCAUGGUCGUCGUCAGCUCGUGUCGUGAGAUGUUGGGUUAAGUCCCGCAACGAGCGCAACCCUUGUUACUAGUUGCCAGCAUUAAGUUGGGCACUCUAGUGAGACUGCCGGUGACAAACCGGAGGAAGGUGGGGACGACGUCAGAUCAUCAUGCCCCUUAUGACCUGGGCUACACACGUGCUACAAUGGACGGUACAACGAGUCGCGAACUCGCGAGGGCAAGCAAAUCUCUUAAAACCGUUCUCAGUUCGGACUGCAGGCUGCAACUCGCCUGCACGAAGUCGGAAUCGCUAGUAAUCGCGGAUCAGCAUGCCGCGGUGAAUACGUUCCCGGGCCUUGUACACACCGCCCGUCACACCAUGAGAGUUUGUAACACCCAAA